UGGGGAAUAUUGGACAAUGGGCGAAAGCCUGAUCCAGCCAUGCCGCGUGUGUGAAGAAGGUCUUCGGAUUGUAAAGCACUUUAAGUUGGGAGGAAGGGCAGUAAGCGAAUACCUUGCUGUUUUGACGUUACCGACAGAAUAAGCACCGGCUAACUCUGUGCCAGCAGCCGCGGUAAUACAGAGGGUGCAAGCGUUAAUCGGAAUUACUGGGCGUAAAGCGCGCGUAGGUGGCUCGUUAAGUUGAAUGUGAAAGCCCCGGGCUCAACCUGGGAACUGCAUCCAAAACUGGCGGGCUAGAGUAGGGCAGAGGGUGGUGGAAUUUCCUGUGUAGCGGUGAAAUGCGUAGAUAUAGGGAGGAACACCAGUGGCGAAGGCGACCACCUGGGCUCAUACUGACACUGAGGUGCGAAAGCGUGGGGAGCAAACAGG
This 429-nucleotide ribosomal RNA is filed under the name Pseudomonadota bacterium. RNAcentral describes it as "Proteobacteria bacterium partial 16S ribosomal RNA". It matches the Rfam family "Bacterial small subunit ribosomal RNA", at positions 355 to 776 of the family's 1533-position model. The record is from RNAcentral. Lineage: Bacteria; Pseudomonadati; Pseudomonadota.